RNAcentral lists this ribosomal RNA (659 nucleotides) under Acinetobacter baumannii. RNAcentral describes it as "bacterial SSU rRNA". It matches the Rfam family "Bacterial small subunit ribosomal RNA", at positions 407 to 1056 of the family's 1533-position model. Lineage: Bacteria; Pseudomonadati; Pseudomonadota; Gammaproteobacteria; Moraxellales; Moraxellaceae. The record is from RNAcentral.
GAAGAAGGCCUUCAUGGUUGUAAAGCACUUUAAGCGAGGAGGAGGCUACUUUAAUUAAUACCUAGAGAUAGUGGACGUUACUCGCAAAAUAAGCACCGGCUAACUCUGUGCCAGCAGCCGCGGUAAUACAAAGGGUGCGAGCGUUAAUCGAAUUUACUGGGCGUAAAGCGUGCGUAGGCGGCUUAUUAAGUCGGAUGUGAAAUCCCCGAGCUUAACUUGGGAAUUGCAUUCAAUACUGGUGAGCUAGAGUAUGGGAGAGGAUGGUAAAAUUCCAGGUGUAGCGGUGAAAUGCGUAAAGAUCUGGAGGAAUACCGAUGGCGAAGGCAGCCAUCUGGCCUAAUACUGACGCUGAGGUACGAAAGCAUGGGGAGCAAACAGGAUUAAAUACCCUGGUAGUCCAUGCCGUAAACGAUGUCUACUAGCCGUUGGGGCCUUUGAGGCUUUAGUGGCGCAGCUAACGCGAUAAGUAGACCGCCUGGGGAGUACGGUCGCAAGACUAAAACUCAAAUGAAUUGACGGGGGCCCGCACAAGCGGUGGAGCAUGUGGUUUAAUUCGAUGCAACGCGAAGAACCUUACCUGGCCUUGACAUACUAGAAACUUUCCAGAGAUGGAUUGGUGCCUUCGGGAAUCUAGAUACAGGUGUGAUGGGGUUUUUGGA